UACAGGCCCAGCACUGAGGCCGGGCAAGGGGAGGCUGCCCAGCCACCCCUUCUUGUGGUUUCUACAGGUCUGCUGUCUGACGUCCAGCAGAAGUCACUGAGCUUCCUGGAGUCCCUGAAGAUGGACCGGCGGGAGCAGGGGCAGGCACUGGCCCUCCUUCGGCGGCAGUCAGAGCUGGAGGUCUGGGAGGCGCAGAAGGCCCUGGGGGAGCUGCUGUCCAGACCCAGACAUGAGCGGUUGCAAGAGAAGCACUCGACCCAGGCCAGGCCAGGGGCGGCCUUGGAGCUGGAGCCGCCGCAGGUGCGUGUGGAUCCGGAGCCGAGGACCUCUCAGAGAGCCGCGGCAACCAGGCCCAGGUGUGGCUCCCUCCCAGCGUAUGAGGGGGCCGGGUGGGGGUCUUGGGCCACGUGGACCACAGGAUGCAGCGCUCUCUUACCUGGCAGCUCUCACCUACUCCCGGGCCGAGACGCGGCUGCGCCCUCCCCGAGUCCCCAGGAUGGAAAGAAGAGUUGGGUGGAUGCAUCAGCUCACGCGGAGCCCGUGCAGGAAGGGAGACCAGCCCAGACUCCCUCCCAGCUGCCCGCAGCCAGGCUCUACACCUGGGAGGAACCCAGGCUCCAGGCACAGAGCCCCGGGGAAGGGGCUCACAGAGGGCCCCAGGGGAGGCACGGGCACGGGGUAGGGGACCCAGUUCUCCGUCCCUGGGACAUCAGGUGUUGAGACCCACCCCUCCGACAGCCUGCGCC
Molecule: long non-coding RNA, 746 nt
Filed under: Moschus moschiferus (Siberian musk deer)
Lineage: Eukaryota; Metazoa; Chordata; Mammalia; Artiodactyla; Moschidae
Description: lncRNA (ENSMMSG00000017761.1)
Source: RNAcentral